GAUGAACGCUGGCGGCGUGCCUAAUACAUGCAAGUCGAACGAAACUUCUUUAUCAUCGAGUGCUUGCCCUUACCGAUAGAGGGUUGAGUGGCGAACGGGUGAGUAACACGUGAGCAACGGACCCCAUAGAGGGGCAUAACACAUUGACACAUAUGCUAUUGCACCAUAAGCAUCAUUACUGCAUGACGACUUUGUUGAAAGUUACAGUACUACCCGCGCCGCAUUAGCUAGUUGGUAAGGUAAAGGCUUACCAAGGCAACGAUGCGUAGCCGAACUGAGAGGGUGAUCGGCCACACUGGAACUGAGACACGGUCCAGACUCCUACGGGAGGCAGCAGUAGGGAAUCUUCCGCAAUGGGCGAAAGCCUGACGGAGCAACGCCGCGUGAGUGAAGAAGGUCUUCGGAUCGUAAAACUCUGUUAUUAGAGAAGAACGAGUGUGAGAGUAACUGUGCACGUCUUGACGGUACCUAAUCAGAAAGCCACGGCUAACUACGUG
RNAcentral lists this ribosomal RNA (497 nucleotides) under uncultured bacterium. RNAcentral describes it as "partial 16S ribosomal RNA". It matches the Rfam family "Bacterial small subunit ribosomal RNA", at positions 28 to 507 of the family's 1533-position model. The record is from RNAcentral.